GAAAUUCAGCCCGCGGAGGCUUCGGGAUCAAGGAGUAAGCGGAGGAGACGGACUCCGGGUCAAAUUGCAGCGGAUAAGAGGAGAGUGUGGGAGGAUAGUUUUGUGGGCAGAAAGUUCAAAAAUGAGAGGCAAGUGGAUGCUACGGCAUUGUCCGAUGAUCACAUGGGGCUUCGGUACGUCAUGAGGAAAGGUAAAUCGCCAAAAAGGGAGCUUUCGUUGCACUAGACAAGGUUUUGCCCGAGCAGAAGUUGACUUGCCAAGGCGGAACCUGUCAUCGCCCGAGCCGAAGCAGAUUUGCCCGAGCAGAAGCCCGAUGGCCAGAGCAGAAGUUGAAGUUGCCAAGGCAGGAACUCAUUUGCCCGAGCAGAAACCCGAUGGCCAAGGCAGAGGCAGAGUUGCCCGAGCAGAACCCAUCAUUGCCCGAGCAAGAAGCAGAUUUGCCCGAGCAAGAGGAAGGCGGCCAAGGCAAUGACCCACUAUUGGCCUCGGCAGCGAUGUAAACUUUUACAUCCCAUCGAUGCCGAGCCCCUUAGUGGCAAAUACCCCUUAACCACUUCGGCAGCGAUGGGACAAAUCAUCUUCCAUCGAUGCCGAACCCCAUAGUAGAGCAUUCUAAGGCCGUUGCCAUCGAUGCCGAGGGGCUUAAGAGCGGAUUUUCUGAGCAUCUUGGGAAUAUUCCAGGCGCGGACCUUCGGAGUAUAAAAGCCUUUGUCAUUAUUUUGUACAAAAAAGUAGACUUAGAUUUGCUUACCUAAUUUUAGAUCUAGAAUUAGAUUCAAUUUGCAUUUUGAAUUGUUCUUGCUGUUCUUCAUUUUUCCAGCACUUAUAUUUUAAUUUUCUGCCCUUAGUUGUUAAUUUUUGUUAUUGUUGCCUUAAUUAAAGUUGUUUAUUUUCUCC
Rhododendron vialii is the source of this 897-nucleotide long non-coding RNA. RefSeq lists it as uncharacterized. Lineage: Eukaryota; Viridiplantae; Streptophyta; Magnoliopsida; Ericales; Ericaceae. The record is from RefSeq and is a predicted model, not a curated record. The transcript is spliced from 2 exons.